CUUAUGCGUUGUUGGGUAGGGGAGCGUUCUGUAAGCCGUUGAAGGUGUGCUGUGAGGCAUGCUGGAGGUAUCAGAAGUGCGAAUGCUGACAUAAGUAACGAUAAAGCGGGUGAAAAGCCCGCUCGCCGGAAGACCAAGGGUUCCUGUCCAACGUUAAUCGGGGCAGGGUGAGUCGACCCCUAAGGCGAGGCCGAAAGGCGUAGUCGAUGGGAAACAGGUUAAUAUUCCUGUACUUGGUGUUACUGCGAAGGGGGGACGGAGAAGGCUAUGUUAGCCGGGCGACGGUUGUCCCGGUUUAAGCAUGUAGGCGGAGGUUCCAGGUAAAUCCGGUACCUUUUAACGCUGAGGUGUGAUGACGAGGCACUACGGUGCUGAAGUAACAAAUGCCCUGCUUCCAGGAAAAGCCUCUAAGCAUCAGGUAACAUCAAAUCGUACCCCAAACCGACACAGGUGGUCAGGUAGAGAAUACCAAGGCGCUUGAGAGAACUCGGGUGAAGGAACUAGGCAAAAUGGUGCCGUAACUUCGGGAGAAGGCACGCUGAUAUGUAGGUGAAGCCCCUGCGGGUGGAGCUGAAAUCAGUCGAAGAUACCAGCUGGCUGCAACUGUUUAUUAAAAACACAGCACUGUGCAAACACGAAAGUGGACGUAUACGGUGUGACGCCUGCCCGGUGCCGGAAGGUUAAUUGAUGGGGUUAGCGGCAACGCGAAGCUCUUGAUCGAAGCCCCGGUAAACGGCGGCCGUAACUAUAACGGUCCUAAGGUAGCGAAAUUCCUUGUCGGGUAAGUUCCGACCUGCACGAAUGGCGUAAUGAUGGCCAGGCUGUCUCCACCCGAGACUCAGUGAAAUUGAACUCGCUGUGAAGAUGCAGUGUACCCGCGGCAAGACGGAAAGACCCCGUGAACCUUUACUAUAGCUUGACACUGAACACUGGUCCUUGAUGUGUAGGAUAGGUGGGAGGCUUUGAAGUGUGGACGCCAGUCUGCAUGGAGCCGUCCUUGAAAUACCACCCUUUAAUGGCUGGUGUUCUAACGUAGACCCGUAAUCCGGGUUGCGGACAGUGUCUGGUGGGUAGUUUGACUGGGGCGGUCUCCUCCCAAAGAGUAACGGAGGAGCACGAAGGUUAGCUAAUCCUGGUCGGACAUCAGGAGGUUAGUGCAAUGGCAUAAGCUAGCUUGACUGCGAGAGUGACGGCUCGAGCAGGUGCGAAAGCAGGUCAUAGUGAUCCGGUGGUUCUGAAUGGAAGGGCCAUCGCUCAACGGAUAAAAGGUACUCCGGGGAUAACAGGCUGAUACCGCCCAAGAGUUCAUAUCGACGGCGGUGUUUGGCACCUCGAUGUCGGCUCAUCACAUCCUGGGGCUGAAGUAGGUCCCAAGGGUAUGGCUGUUCGCCAUUUAAAGUGGUACGCGAGCUGGGUUUAGAACGUCGUGAGACAGUUCGGUCCCUAUCUGCCGUGGGCGCUGGAGAAUUGAGGGGGGCUGCUCCUAGUACGAGAGGACCGGAGUGGACGCAUCACUGGUGUUCGGGUUGUCAUGCCAAUGGCACUGCCCGGUAGCUAAAUGCGGAAAAGAUAAGUGCUGAAAGCAUCUAAGCACGAAACUUGCCCCGAGAUGAGUUCUCCCUGAGACUUUAAGUCUCCUGAAGGAACGUUGAAGACGACGACGUUGAUAGGUCGGGUGUGUAAGCGCAGCGAUGCGUUGAGCUAACCGAUACUAAUGAACCGUGAGGCUUAACCUU
This 1736-nucleotide ribosomal RNA is filed under the name Enterobacter roggenkampii. RNAcentral's name for it is "partial 23S ribosomal RNA". It matches the Rfam family "Bacterial large subunit ribosomal RNA", at positions 1213 to 2925 of the family's 2925-position model. The record is from RNAcentral. Lineage: Bacteria; Pseudomonadati; Pseudomonadota; Gammaproteobacteria; Enterobacterales; Enterobacteriaceae.